Molecule: ribosomal RNA, 738 nt
Filed under: Triticum aestivum (bread wheat)
Lineage: Eukaryota; Viridiplantae; Streptophyta; Magnoliopsida; Poales; Poaceae
Description: partial small subunit ribosomal RNA
Source: RNAcentral
AUGACAUUUUUAUCUGAAGAGGAGGCCUACUCAUUUUAUAACAAAUAUGCAAAAGUUACUGGUUUUAGCAUCCGAAGAGGGAGUCACCAUAAAGUGAAGAAUACUGCAGUAAUACAACAACGGGCAUUUACGUGCUCCCGUCAAGGAUUCCAUGCUGAAGAUAGCAGAGAGGAUUCUUUCAGUUACAGUAGGCCCCAAACACGAUGUGGUUGUCAAGCCCAUAUGAAGAUAAGUCUCAAAAAUGGAUUAUAUUAUGUGUACGAAUUUGAGGCACCACAUAACCAUCCUCUUGCUACCGGAGACAUGGCCCUAUACUUAAGAUCCCAAAGAAAAGUCACAGAAGCACAAAUAGCAAACGCUGAAGUCGCAAAGUCUGUGGACAUUUCAAAUAAAGCAACUAUAGAUCUUAUGGCCAAAGAAGCAUGUGGACUUCCAAAUCUUGGGUUUGCACCCGAAGAUAUGAAAAAUCGUUUGUACUCUAAGAGAACACUGCAAGCAAAGAAAGGAGACACAGGGGGAGUGUUAGAAUACAUGGAGAAGAAGGUAAAAGAAGAUGCCAAUUUUUUCUAUUCAGUUCAAGUUGAUGAGGAUGAUCUGAUAACUAAUAUUUUCUGGGCUGAUUCCAAAAUGAUAUCAGACUAUGCAAUGUUUGGUGAUGUUAUACGCUUUGACACCACAUAUAGGAAAAGGAAACUAGAUGAUGGGGCGUCCCUUUGGUUUGAUUGUUGGGGUGAAUAA